AAGUAAUGAAUAAUAGAUUUGAAAUAUUUAUUAUAUAGAUUUAAAGAAAUAAUCAUAGAAUACAUAAGUUAUUAAUAGUUAUUAGGUUACUAAUAAAUAAAUAAAUAUAUUUAUUUUAAUACCUAAGGUAAACCAUAAAAAAUUAUUUAUUUAAAAUAAUAAAUAAUUAUUAUAAAUAUACUAAGUGAACUGAAACAUCUAAGUAACUUAAGGAUAAAAAAUCAACCGAGAUAUUAUGAGUAUUGGUGAGAGAAAAUAAUAUAGUUAAUAAUUUUUUUAAUUAUUUAUAAAAAUUAUAUAUAUAAGUAUUAUGUAAUAUAAUUAUGUAAGAAUAUAGGACAAACUAGUUCUAAAACUAAAUACUAUUAAUAAACAAAAUAAGUACCGAAAGGGAAAGUAUGUAAGUGGUUAUUUUAUAAGUAAUCAUAGAUAUAAAUUUUAUAUUAAUGAUGUACCUUUUGUAUAAUGGGUCAGCAAGUAAUUAAUAUUAGCAAAAUAAAUAAAUUAUAAAAAAAUUGAUAAUAAAAAUAUAAAAGUUAAUAUUAAUUGACCCGAAAGCAAAUGAUCUUACUAUGACCAGACGGUUAAACGGUCGAACAGGUUGAUGUUGCAAUAUCAUCUGAUGAGUUGUGGUAAGUAGUGAAAGACAAAUCUGAUUUGCAGAUAGCUGGUUUUCUACGAAAUAUAUGUAAGUAUAGCUUUUAUAAUAAUAAUUAUUAUAAUUCAUUCAUUGAAUUAUAAAGAACGGUACAGCAACAAAUAUAUUUAGGGGAACUAUUGUAGUUUUAUCAAAAAUAUUUGAUCUCGAAAUGUUUAAUUACCCACUCUCCUAUAUGAAUAUAGGAAUAGUCCCCCCCCCCUUGUGGGGGGAGACAAUGGAAUAGUGGGGAUUAUAAAAAGUCAGAUUAUGUGCGAUAAGGUAAAUAAUCUAAAGGGAAACAGCCCAGAUUAAUAUAUAAGGUUCCUAAUUAUAUAAUAAGUGAAAAAAAUAUUAAAAUAUUAUAAUACAAUCAGUUAAUGGAUUUGACAAUAACCAUUUUUUAAUGAACAUGUAACAAUGCACUGAUCUAUUAUAUAAUCUUGUAUAGAUUAUAUACAUAUAAUAUUAUAAAUUUUUCUUAUUGAAUAAGAAAAUUAAUAAACAAUAUACGGAUCUUUUUAUUUAUUUAUUAAAAUUAUUUAACCGAAUAUUUAAAUAUUAUUAUUAAUAAUAUUUUAUUUCCAUUUAUUUUAAUUGGGUGGUAUUUAUAAAAUAAUAAUAAUAUGGUAGUAGAACAUUUAAUGAAAAAGGUAUAUUAAUUUUUAAUUAAUAUAUAAAAAAAUAUAAAAAUAUUUUUAAGUUUCAUCCUUGUGGGGGUGGGACGAUGGAAUAGUAAUUAAAUAGAGAAUGCUGACAUGAGUAACGAAAAAAAGGUUAAACCUUUUCACCUAAAACAUAAGGUUUUACUAUAAAAGUACGGCCCUUAAUUAAAUUAUAUAAAUAUAAUAUAAGAUAGGAUAAUUCUAAAUUAAAAAUAACAUCUUUUAUUUUAUUUAAUUAUAAAAAAUUAUAAAAGAUCAAGAAAUAUAUUUAAUUUAUACCGUAAUGUAUACCGACUCAGGUAUGUUAGUAGAGAAUAUUAAGGUGAAUUAGAUAAUUAAAGGGAAGGAACUCGGCAAAAAUAGCUCUAACGUUAGUCAAUAAAGAGAUAAUUUAAAAACAAGGUUGUACAACUGUUUAAUAAAAACACCGCACUUUGCAUAAACGAUAAGUUAACGUAUAAGGUGUGAACUCUGCUCCAUGCUUAACAUAUAAAUAAUAUUAUUUAAUGAUAAUAUUAUUAAAUUUAAGUAAAUAGCAGCCUUAUUAUGAGGGUUCUAAGGUAGCGAAAUUCAUUGUCCAAUAAUUAUGGUCCUGCAUGAAUGACGUAAUGAUACAACAACUGUCUCCCCUUUAAGCUAAGUGAAAUUAAAAUCGCAGUGAAGAUGCUGUGUACCUAUAGUGUGACGGAAAGACCCUAUGCAGCUUUACUGUAAUUAGAUAGAUCGAAUUAUUGUAUAUUAUAUUCAGAAUAUUAAGUAAUUGAUUAAAUAAAAAUGAGAUACUUAUUAUAAUAAUAUAAUAAUUCUAAUCUUAAUAUAAAUUAUUUAAUAGAUAUUAAUUCUUAAAUAAAAAUAUUAUAUAUUAUAUAUAUAUUUUAUAUAUAUUUAUAUAUAAUAUAUUAAUAAGAGACAAUCUCUAAUUGGUAGUUUUGAUGGGGCGUCAUUUUCAGCAAUAAUAUCUGAAUAAGUCUAUAUAUAAAUUAUAAUAUUAUUAAUAUAUAAAAAUAUAUAUUAGAUAUAUUAAUUAUAAAUAGAAAUAUAUUUCUUAAAUAAAAAAAAAAAUAAGUUAUAUAUUUUAGUAAUAGAUAAAAUCAUGUAUAGUAAAAUUGUCUAGAAAACAAUAAUAAUAAUAUAAUUCUUUAUAUUAUAUAAUAAAAUGUAUUAAAUUAAUAUAAUGGUAUAACUAUGCAACAAUUAUAACACAAACAAGUGAAAUAAGUACGUAAGUAUGGCAUAAUGAACAAAUAACACUGAUUGUAAUGGUUAUUGAUAACGAAUAAAAGUUACGCUAGGGAUAAAUUACCUACUUGUCCCAUUAUAUUGAAAAAUAUAAUUAUUUAAUUAAUUAAUUAAUUAAAGUAAAUUGGGUGAAUUGCUUAGAUAUCCUUAUAAAUUAUAAUGGACAAUAAGCAGCGAAGCUUAUAACAACUUUAAUAUAUGUAUAUAUAUACAGUUAUAAGAACGUUCAACGACUAGAUGAUGAGUAGAGUUAACAAUAAUUCAUCCACGAGUGCCCAAUAUCAAAUAAAUAAAUAAAAAAAAUAAAUUUGUUUAUAUUAAAAUUUAUUUGAUAAUGAUAUAGUCUAAACAAUUUGGUAACAAAUUGAUAAAUAAAUAUAUAAUAAUAUUUAUAUAAUAAUAAUAAAUUGAACAGGGUAAUAUAGCGAAAGAGUAGAUAUUGUAAGCUAUGUUUGCCACCUCGAUGUCGACUCUACCUAUCCUCUUGGUUGUAAAUGCUAAGAAGGGUUUGACUGUUCGUCAAUUAAAAGGUAACGUGAGUUGGGUUAAAUACGAUGUAAAUCAGUAUGGUUCCUAUCUACUAUAGGUAAUAUUAUCAACUUAAGUCUUAUUCUUAGUACGCAAGGAUCAGAAUGAAUUAAUCCAUGGUGUAUCUAUUGAUUAUUUUAUAAUAUAUAUAUAUAUUAUAUAUAUAUAUUAUCUAUAUUAAUUUAUAUUUUAUAUUAUAAUCAUAGUAGAUAAGCUAAAUUAAUAAAUAAUAAGUAUUGAAAGCAUAUAAAAUACGAAGUUGUCUUAAGAUGAGAUAAUAAUCUGAUUAUUUUAUACUAAAAUAAUAUAAAUAUUCAAUAUUAAAUUGAAUAUAUAAAUAGGUUUUUUAUAUAUAUAUAUAAAAAAAUACUAAUUUAUCAGUUAUCUAUAUAAUAUCUAAUCUAUUAUUC
This 3479-nucleotide ribosomal RNA is filed under the name Torulaspora franciscae. RNAcentral's name for it is "large subunit ribosomal RNA". The stretch from base 153 to 1951 matches the Rfam family "Bacterial large subunit ribosomal RNA", at positions 15 to 2044 of the family's 2925-position model. Lineage: Eukaryota; Fungi; Ascomycota; Saccharomycetes; Saccharomycetales; Saccharomycetaceae. The record is from RNAcentral.